UGUUUCCUUGAGCUGCUGCCACGUGCUUGUCCUUCAACAGCCGUCGAUACUAAAAUCUACCCUUCCCUUUCCGAGGUUCUCCGAUCGUUGAAGUGCGUGGCUAGUUAGGAGUUGAGCCUAGAUUAUAUGUUUGGCUUUGGGCUUAGCUGUGAGGCAUUUGUAGAUAUUGAGUUUGGAAGAUAUUCAUCAAUUACAUUGAGGAGGCUAGAAGAAAAACAUCUUCAUCAACUAUUGGUUUUUCACAAAAAUCUUGUCGUAAAAGAAAAGCAAAUAACUUAGCAAUUGACCAUGUGACUGAUAAACUUGGUGGUAUGAGCUUGCAAAAGCCCUUCAGUCUUUACAUAUAUAAUUGCAUCAAUGAAAAUUACAUUUAUGAGCAAGUAAUGACUAUUGAUCAUGGAUUUGAUAAAGAAGGUAGAUAUGUGUAACACAUUUGAAUAUUUGAUGAAAAAUGAGGUAGAAGCUAGAAUUUUCAAGGCUA
Ipomoea nil (Japanese morning glory) is the source of this 481-nucleotide long non-coding RNA. RefSeq lists it as uncharacterized. NCBI's taxonomy places the organism in Eukaryota, Viridiplantae, Streptophyta, Magnoliopsida, Solanales, Convolvulaceae. The record is from RefSeq and is a predicted model, not a curated record. The transcript has 3 exons.